AACGAACGCUGGCGGCAGGCUUAACACAUGCAAGUCGAACGCCCCGCAAGGGGUGUGGCAGACGGGUGAGUAACGCGUGGGAAUCUACCGUACCCUACGGAACAACAGUUGGAAACGACUGCUAAUACCGUAUACGCCCUACGGGGGAAAGAUUUAUCGGGGUAUGAUGAGCCCGCGUUGGAUUAGCUAGUUGGUGGGGUAAAGGCCUACCAAGGCGACGAUCCAUAGCUGGUCUGAGAGGAUGAUCAGCCACAUUGGGACUGAGACACGGCUCAAACUCCUACGGGAGGCAGCAGUGGGGAAUAUUGGACAAUGGGCGCAAGCCUGAUCCAGCCAUGCCGCGUGAGUGAUGAAGGUCUUAGGAUUGUAAAGCUCUUUCACCGAUGAAGAUUAUGACGGUAGUCGGAGAAGAAGCCCCGGCUAACUUCGUGCCAGCAGCCGCGGUAA
RNAcentral lists this ribosomal RNA (447 nucleotides) under uncultured bacterium. RNAcentral describes it as "partial 16S ribosomal RNA". It matches the Rfam family "Bacterial small subunit ribosomal RNA", at positions 29 to 523 of the family's 1533-position model. The record is from RNAcentral.